This 74-nucleotide transfer RNA is filed under the name Pollicipes pollicipes. RNAcentral's name for it is "tRNA-Arg". It matches the Rfam family "tRNA". Rfam says of the family: Transfer RNA (tRNA) molecules are approximately 80 nucleotides in length. Lineage: Eukaryota; Metazoa; Arthropoda; Thecostraca; Pollicipedomorpha; Pollicipedidae. The record is from RNAcentral.
GCCCGCGUGGCCUAAUGGAUAAGGCGUUCGGUCUCCUAAACCGAAGAUUGCGGGUUCGAGUCCCGCCGUGGGUA